Molecule: ribosomal RNA, 1400 nt
Rfam family: Bacterial small subunit ribosomal RNA
ACACAUGCAGUCGAGGGGCAGCAUUUUAGUUUGCUUGCAAACUGAAGAUGGCGACCGGCGCACGGGUGAGUAACACGUAUCCAACCUGCCGAUAACUCCGGAAUAGCCUUUCGAAAGAAAGAUUAAUACCGGAUAGCAUACGAAUAUCGCAUGAUAUUUUUAUUAAAGAAUUUCGGUUAUCGAUGGGGAUGCGUUCCAUUAGUUUGUUGGCGGGGUAACGGCCCACCAAGACUACGAUGGAUAGGGGUUCUGAGAGGAAGGUCCCCCACAUUGGAACUGAGACACGGUCCAAACUCCUACGGGAGGCAGCAGUGAGGAAUAUUGGUCAAUGGGCGAGAGCCUGAACCAGCCAAGUAGCGUGAAGGAUGAAGGCUCUAUGGGUCGUAAACUUCUUUUAUAUGGGAAUAAAGUUUUCCACGUGUGGAAUUUUGUAUGUACCAUAUGAAUAAGGAUCGGCUAACUCCGUGCCAGCAGCCGCGGUAAUACGGAGGAUCCGAGCGUUAUCCGGAUUUAUUGGGUUUAAAGGGAGCGUAGGUGGAUUGUUAAGUCAGUUGUGAAAGUUUGCGGCUCAACCGUAAAAUUGCAGUUGAAACUGGCAGUCUUGAGUACAGUAGAGGUGGGCGGAAUUCGUGGUGUAGCGGUGAAAUGCUUAGAUAUCACGAAGAACUCCGAUUGCGAAGGCAGCUCACUAGACUGUCACUGACACUGAUGCUCGAAAGUGUGGGUAUCAAACAGGAUUAGAUACCCUGGUAGUCCACACAGUAAACGAUGAAUACUCGCUGUUUGCGAUAUACAGUAAGCGGCCAAGCGAAAGCAUUAAGUAUUCCACCUGGGGAGUACGCCGGCAACGGUGAAACUCAAAGGAAUUGACGGGGGCCCGCACAAGCGGAGGAACAUGUGGUUUAAUUCGAUGAUACGCGAGGAACCUUACCCGGGCUUAAAUUGCAACAGAAUAUAUUGGAAACAGUAUAGCCGUAAGGCUGUUGUGAAGGUGCUGCAUGGUUGUCGUCAGCUCGUGCCGUGAGGUGUCGGCUUAAGUGCCAUAACGAGCGCAACCCUUAUCUUUAGUUACUAACAGGUCAUGCUGAGGACUCUAGAGAGACUGCCGUCGUAAGAUGUGAGGAAGGUGGGGAUGACGUCAAAUCAGCACGGCCCUUACGUCCGGGGCUACACACGUGUUACAAUGGGGGGUACAGAAGGCGGCUACCUGGUGACAGGAUGCUAAUCCCAAAAACCUCUCUCAGUUCGGAUCGAAGUCUGCAACCCGACUUCGUGAAGCUGGAUUCGCUAGUAAUCGCGCAUCAGCCAUGGCGCGGUGAAUACGUUCCCGGGCCUUGUACACACCGCCCGUCAAGCCAUGAAAGCCGGGGGUACCUGAAGUACGUAACCGCAAGGAGCGU